AUAGCCCUACGGGGCGCAGCAGUGGGGGAUAUUGGACAAUGGGGGGAACCCUGAUCCAGCGACGCCGCGUGAGUGAAGAAGUAUUUCGGUAUGUAAAGCUCUGUCAGCAGGGAAGAAAGCAAUGACGGUACCUGACUAAGAAGCCCCGGCUAACUACGUGCCAGCAGCCGCGGUAAUACGUAGGGGGCAAGCGUUAUCCGGAUUUACUGGGUGUAAAGGGAGCGUAGACGGCAGCGCAAGUCUGGAGUGAAAUGCCAGGGCCCAGCCCCGGAACUGCUCUGGAAACUGUGAAGCUGGAGUGCAGG
Molecule: ribosomal RNA, 305 nt
Filed under: uncultured bacterium
Lineage: Bacteria
Description: bacterial SSU rRNA
Rfam family: Bacterial small subunit ribosomal RNA
Source: RNAcentral